This 510-nucleotide ribosomal RNA is filed under the name uncultured bacterium. RNAcentral describes it as "partial 16S ribosomal RNA". It matches the Rfam family "Bacterial small subunit ribosomal RNA", at positions 28 to 507 of the family's 1533-position model. The record is from RNAcentral.
GACGAACGCUGGCGGCGUGCUUAACACAUGCAAGUCGAACGAAGAGCGAUGGAAGCUUGCUCCUAUCAAUCUUAGUGGCGAACGGGUGAGUAACGCGUAAUCAACCUGCCCUUCAGAGGGGGACAACAGUUGGAAACGACUGCUAAUACCGCAUACGAUCUAAACUCGGCAUCGAGGAUAGAUGAAAGGUGGCCUCUACAUGUAAGCUAUCACUGAAGGAGGGGAUUGCGUCUGAUUAGCUAGUUGGAGGGGUAACGGCCCACCAAGGCGAUGAUCAGUAGCCGGUCUGAGAGGAUGAACGGCCACAUUGGGACUGAGACACGGCCCAGACUCCUACGGGAGGCAGCAGUGGGGAAUCUUCCGCAAUGGACGAAAGUCUGACGGAGCAACGCCGCGUGAGUGAUGACGGCCUUCGGGUUGUAAAGCUCUGUUAAUCGGGACGAAAGGCCUUCUUGCGAAUAGUGAGAAGGAUUGACGGUACCGGAAUAGAAAGCCACGGCUAACUACGUG